This 22-nucleotide non-coding RNA is filed under the name Arabidopsis thaliana (thale cress). The record is from RNAcentral. Lineage: Eukaryota; Viridiplantae; Streptophyta; Magnoliopsida; Brassicales; Brassicaceae.
ACAUGCAGGAGCUGUUCAGCUU